AGAGUUUGAUCAUGGCUCAGAUUGAACGCUGGCGGCAGGCCUAACACAUGCAAGUCGAACGGUAGCACAGAGAGCUUGCUCUCGGGUGACGAGUGGCGGACGGGUGAGUAAUGUCUGGGAAACUGCCUGAUGGAGGGGGAUAACUACUGGAAACGGUAGCUAAUACCGCAUAACGUCGCAAGACCAAAGAGGGGGACCUUCGGGCCUCUUGCCAUCAGAUGUGCCCAGAUGGGAUUAGCUAGUAGGUGGGGUAACGGCUCACCUAGGCGACGAUCCCUAGCUGGUCUGAGAGGAUGACCAGCCACACUGGAACUGAGACACGGUCCAGACUCCUACGGGAGGCAGCAGUGGGGAAUAUUGCACAAUGGGCGCAAGCCUGAUGCAGCCAUGCCGCGUGUAUGAAGAAGGCCUUCGGGUUGUAAAGUACUUUCAGCGGGGAGGAAGGUGUUGUGGUUAAUAACCUCAGCAAUUGACGUUACCCGCAGAAGAAGCACCGGCUAACUCCGUGCCAGCAGCCGCGGUAAUACGGAGGGUGCAAGCGUUAAUCGGAAUUACUGGGCGUAAAGCGCACGCAGGCGGUCUGUCAAGUCGGAUGUGAAAUCCCCGGGCUCAACCUGGGAACUGCAUUCGAAACUGGCAGGCUAGAGUCUUGUAGAGGGGGGUAGAAUUCCAGGUGUAGCGGUGAAAUGCGUAGAGAUCUGGAGGAAUACCGGUGGCGAAGGCGGCCCCCUGGACAAAGACUGACGCUCAGGUGCGAAAGCGUGGGGAGCAAACAGGAUUAGAUACCCUGGUAGUCCACGCCGUAAACGAUGUCGACUUGGAGGUUGUGCCCUUGAGGCGUGGCUUCCGGAGCUAACGCGUUAAGUCGACCGCCUGGGGAGUACGGCCGCAAGGUUAAAACUCAAAUGAAUUGACGGGGGCCCGCACAAGCGGUGGAGCAUGUGGUUUAAUUCGAUGCAACGCGAAGAACCUUACCUACUCUUGACAUCCAGAGAACUUUCCAGAGAUGGAUUGGUGCCUUCGGGAACUCUGAGACAGGUGCUGCAUGGCUGUCGUCAGCUCGUGUUGUGAAAUGUUGGGUUAAGUCCCGCAACGAGCGCAACCCUUAUCCUUUGUUGCCAGCGGUUAGGCCGGGAACUCAAAGGAGACUGCCAGUGAUAAACUGGAGGAAGGUGGGGAUGACGUCAAGUCAUCAUGGCCCUUACGAGUAGGGCUACACACGUGCUACAAUGGCGCAUACAAAGAGAAGCGACCUCGCGAGAGCAAGCGGACCUCAUAAAGUGCGUCGUAGUCCGGAUUGGAGUCUGCAACUCGACUCCAUGAAGUCGGAAUCGCUAGUAAUCGUAGAUCAGAAUGCUACGGUGAAUACGUUCCCGGGCCUUGUACACACCGCCCGUCACACCAUGGGAGUGGGUUGCAAAAGAAGUAGGUAGCUUAACCUUCGGGAGGGCGCUUACCACUUUGUGAUUCAUGACUGGGGUGAAGUCGUAACAAGGUAACC
This 1501-nucleotide ribosomal RNA is filed under the name Enterobacter sp. RNAcentral describes it as "bacterial SSU rRNA". It matches the Rfam family "Bacterial small subunit ribosomal RNA". Lineage: Bacteria; Pseudomonadati; Pseudomonadota; Gammaproteobacteria; Enterobacterales; Enterobacteriaceae. The record is from RNAcentral.